GUGUGGCAUCUCUCUGAACCCCCUCGACCGUCUGAGCUUCCGGACUUCUCCGACAAGGAGCCUCUCCAUCCAUCUAUCGGGCCGCUCCACAGGCUCUCUAGGCCUCACUAUCAGCCGACCUUCUACAGUGAUCAACUAUUCUCCGAACUUCUUUCGGACUUCAUCAAUAUUCAAGCUUCUCCCACGAUGAGAUUUCUACAGUAAUCA
This 207-nucleotide long non-coding RNA is filed under the name Elaeis guineensis (African oil palm). RNAcentral describes it as "long non-coding RNA (EGUI_LNC068219)". Lineage: Eukaryota; Viridiplantae; Streptophyta; Magnoliopsida; Arecales; Arecaceae. The record is from RNAcentral.